This 483-nucleotide ribosomal RNA is filed under the name Triticum aestivum (bread wheat). Its description in RNAcentral is "partial small subunit ribosomal RNA". Lineage: Eukaryota; Viridiplantae; Streptophyta; Magnoliopsida; Poales; Poaceae. The record is from RNAcentral.
UGUUUCAAUCGGACUGUUAUUCUUACUCAUCAUCACGGCAAGACAAUAAAGGUUGCAGCUCAAGAGAGACCACGGUCACGGCAACCAAAGUUGAACAAGGUGGACAUUUCAGAAUUGAGAAAAGUUCCAGUGGUGUGUGAGUUUCCUGACGUAUUUCCCGAAGAACUACCAGGCAUGCCACCAGACCUGGAAAUAGAGUUAAGCAUUGAACUAGCACCUGGCACCACCCCCAUUUACAAGAAACCUUAUAGAAUGGCACCCUCCGAGUUGGUAGAAUUAAAGAAGCAAAUAAAAGAAUUACUGGACAAAGGAUUUAUACGAGCCAGCUCCUCACCUUGGGGUUCACCAGUAUUAUUUGCCAAGAAAAAGGAUGGGACACUGAGAUUGUGUAUAGACUAUCGAGAACUAAACAUGGUCACCAUCAAAAACAAAUAUCCGAUGCCCCGGAUAAAUGAUUUAUUUGACCAGCUCGCACAAGCCAAG